This is a long non-coding RNA of Gadus macrocephalus (Pacific cod), 309 nucleotides long. RefSeq lists it as uncharacterized. The record is from RefSeq and is a predicted model, not a curated record. NCBI's taxonomy places the organism in Eukaryota, Metazoa, Chordata, Actinopteri, Gadiformes, Gadidae. The transcript is spliced from 3 exons.
CAGGAUGCAUGUUGUGGACUCUCAGCUUAUGAGCUCCAACGCCUGAAGAACAUCGGGGAGAGGGAAGCCUUCUUGUCGUCCUUGAUGUUAUUGCAAGCAGCUGAGGAUCUGAGGCAGACUAUAAAGCCAAAGCCGGAUGUGAAGAGGUCAAAGGCUUCGUUGGAUAAAGUGCAGUCUCUUCUGUCUUCCCGGAAAUCCUUGCGUCUUAAGGAAGCACAAAACCUUAGCCUCAGAGUAGGACGAACCUAUGAACAUGUAAGUUAGUCUCUUAUGUUUCAUGUGCACCAUUAAAUAUUCACUAAAUUAAAG